This is a non-coding RNA of Podarcis lilfordi (Lilford's wall lizard), 75 nucleotides long. Lineage: Eukaryota; Metazoa; Chordata; Lepidosauria; Squamata; Lacertidae. The record is from the annotation of a GenBank genome assembly.
GGAUAGCUCAGUUGGUUUUAGAGUGUGGUGCUGAUAAUGCCAAGGUUGCAGGUUCGAUCCCCACUAUAUGGGACA